GACAAGGUAGUAGUUAGCUCGUGC
Molecule: non-coding RNA, 24 nt
Filed under: Arabidopsis thaliana (thale cress)
Lineage: Eukaryota; Viridiplantae; Streptophyta; Magnoliopsida; Brassicales; Brassicaceae
Source: RNAcentral